CGGCCACUUGGGUUCCGCUAGAGGGCGAAAUCUAUCCCCGGCUGCUAAUUCUAAACAUUUAUUUAAGGUAGAAUCAGGUUAAAGGAAUGCAUCUUGAGCAAGGACCGAAUGGUCCACAGUAAUCUGGAGCAAAGGUUGGGACAUGCAUGGAACCUACUGAAGCACCUGGAUUCUACGGAGGAGCCUGGCAAUGGUUGUGCACUUGCAGUCAGUAUGGUGGGGGAUCUCCUAAAGAUGUUGUAGUCUCCAGACAGCAGGAUGUAAAUUUAAGCAUACCAUGCCUACAUUCCUAAGCGUUGGAGAAAGUCACACAGACCAGAAAAACCAAGCAUUAAAAUCUUCGAGCACAUCGUCCAAAGGCCACAAGCUGGUUUCCCUGGAUGACUUGACAGAGCCAAAAGAAUCCAGAUCCCAAACAAGAGGGCACUAGUCUUAAGCCAGAAGGAUCUCAUUCCAAAGAAAGCCACCCGUCAAUAAAGGGAAACAAAACUGAUGGAAACACA
Long non-coding RNA from Arvicola amphibius (Eurasian water vole), 503 nucleotides. RefSeq lists it as uncharacterized. The transcript has 5 exons. The record is from RefSeq and is a predicted model, not a curated record. Lineage: Eukaryota; Metazoa; Chordata; Mammalia; Rodentia; Cricetidae.